AGACAAAAAUUAAACUAAGCAGAGAUUAUUUGACAUAUAAAUGGGCUAGAAUUAAUGGUUUAAAAGAUAAAAACAAUGAAAUUGAUUUUAUGAGAUUCAGAUGUGUUAUUAAUCCCUGAUGGUCAAUUCAGUCACACAGCCUUUAGAGUCUUAUUAAAAGAAGUCAAGACAAAGUAAAGAGUUACAUUUACAUGCCAGUAACAACAGGUCACCAAAGGAGAUAACAAUCUAUUAAAAAAAUACAAUGUCAGAAAUGUCUAAGGUGAUCCUUAAAACCAGGAGGUGACUAUCCUUCCAUGUAGUUUUAAAUUGUGACUUUAGGGCACCAUCCAUUCAGGGUUGAUUAGACCAACUUCAUAUUUUACUACAGAUCAGGUCUGUGAGAUUGAGUGGUUAUAGUUCACUCUCAGGUAUGCUGCAAGAGUUCAGCCAAGUAUGAAUUUCUAAUCUGGCUUUCUUUUUUCUUUACAGCAUCGAAAGGCAGCCAAAAUAAUGUUACACCGAUUGUUGUAGCCAUCGUCUUAUCUCUUGGUGUUGUUUUGGCUAUAAUUUGAAUUCAUCAUCGAAGGAGAAAACAAAAUAAAGCAGAGAACAUGGAAAAUACAGUCUAUGAAGAUCCUCAGGCUGUGAAUACAGACCUCCCUCUGCAGCAGAGACCAACAAAUGAUGCCCCAGCUGGUCCUCUACCCUCCAUCUACUCCUUGUUGGGGCCUCCCAUCGUCUCUGAAGCACCCACUCAGCCCAGAGACAACGCUCAGCCAGAGAUCCUGUAUGCAAAGGGGGAAAUUAUGAAUUGUUGAAUAUGAUGUCUUCAACACACUUCUCUUGCAGGAAUGAUCACUUCAGUUUAGUUUAGUUUAGUAUCAGUGAAGGACUUCUGACUGCGUCUUCUUUUUCUUUGCAUCGGUCGUGGACUAGCUACUUGAGUCAUGCAAUGAAGUUAAAAGACCCAACUACAGUCAGAUUGCUGAUUUUAUUAUGAAUUAUAACAACAAGCACCUUCUGAUUGGAAUCAUUUGCCAGAUAACCUGUGAACAAUUAACUCUUUUCAUACCUUUUCUGCUUCUGAUUGUACUGUAAUCUUUGUAAUUACCAUCAUUAGUGUCAAUACUUACAAUGUUAUUAGUUAAUAUGUGAUGUGAAAUCUCGUGGCUGUUUACAUUGUGUAGGCGGAGUGGCAAUACAGGAUUAAUGUCCUGGUGGGUUGAUGUAUGAGUGUGUUUGUAUGUGUUGUUGAAUGUCUCUGUGUCACUUGUAAUGUUGUGUAUUCAUAUGUUGUAUGAUUCAAUACAUUUUACAUUUCAAUCUGCUGAUGAAUAAUACCAUUUGGACUUCAGACCGAAACAAGAACUGUUUUGUUGCAGACAUUUGAGCCUCUCACCUGCAACAUCAUAAAUUAUAUGUUUAUAGAGAUCAUUUAUGUCACAUGCUAUAUGGAGACACCUUUGCUGUUAACAAUCAGGUGACACAUACAAUAGAACUGUUUUGAUGCAGAUCAUUUUAUUUUUUGAAAUUAAUUUACUGUAUAUAUUUCAAAUGUUACGUUCUAUUUUUUUUUUACAUAGUUUUAUUGCUAAUUUGUGUUUUUGCCAAUAUUUGAUCAUCUUGAUGCUUCUUAUCAAAUGUUUCUUUAAACCUUAAUGUGAAUAAAGCCUUUUUAAUUUAAAGCUA
This is a non-coding RNA of Labrus bergylta (ballan wrasse), 1671 nucleotides long. The record is from RefSeq and is a predicted model, not a curated record. Lineage: Eukaryota; Metazoa; Chordata; Actinopteri; Labriformes; Labridae.